GAUGAACGCUGGCGGCGUGCCUAAUACAUGCAAGUCGAGCGAACGGACGCGAAGCUUGCUUUUCUGAUGUUAGCGGCGGGCGGGUGAGUAACACGUGGAUAACCUACCUAUAAGACUGGGAUAACUUCGGGAAACCGGAGCUAAUACCGGAUAAUAUUUUGAACCGCAUUGUUCAAAAGUGAAAGACGGUCUUGCUGUCACUUAUAGCUGGAUCCGCGCUGCAUUAGGUAGUUGGUAAGGUAACGGCUUACCAAGGCAACGAUGCAUAGCCGACCUGAGAGGGGGAUCGGCCACAUUGGAAGUGAGACACGGUCAAGACUCCUACGGGAGGCAGCAGUAGGGAACGUUCCGCAAUGGGCGAAAGCCUGACGGAGCAACGCCGCGUGAGUGAUGAAGGUCUUCGGAUCGUAAAACUGUGUUAUGAGGGAAGAACAGAUGUGUAAGUAACUGUGCACAUCUUGACGGUACCUAAUCAGAAAGCCACGGCUAACUACGUG
This 497-nucleotide ribosomal RNA is filed under the name uncultured bacterium. RNAcentral's name for it is "partial 16S ribosomal RNA". It matches the Rfam family "Bacterial small subunit ribosomal RNA", at positions 28 to 507 of the family's 1533-position model. The record is from RNAcentral.